RNAcentral lists this ribosomal RNA (495 nucleotides) under uncultured bacterium. RNAcentral describes it as "partial 16S ribosomal RNA". It matches the Rfam family "Bacterial small subunit ribosomal RNA", at positions 28 to 507 of the family's 1533-position model. The record is from RNAcentral.
GACGAACGCUGGCGGCGUGCCUAAUACAUGCAAGUAGAACGCUGAAGGAGGAGCUUGCUCUUCUGGAUGAGUUGCGAACGGGUGAGUAACGCGUAGGUAACCUGCCUGGUAGCGGGGGAUAACUAUUGGAAACGAUAGCUAAUACCGCAUAAGAGUAGAUGUUGCAUGACAUUUGCUUAAAAGGUGCAAUUGCAUCACUACCAGAUGGACCUGCGUUGUAUUAGCUAGUUGGUGGGGUAACGGCUCACCAAGGCGACGAUACAUAGCCGACCUGAGAGGGUGAUCGGCCACACUGGGACUGAGACACGGCCCAGACUCCUACGGGAGGCAGCAGUAGGGAAUCUUCAGCAAUGGACGGAAGUCUGACCGAGCAACGCCGCGUGAGUGAAGAAGGUUUUCGGAUCGUAAAGCUCUGUUGUAAGAGAAGAACGAGUGUGAGAGUGGAAAGUUCACACUGUGACGGUAUCUUACCAGAAAGGGACGGCUAACUACGUG